UACAGAGGUCUCAAGCGUUGUUCGGAUUCAUUGGGCGUAAAGGGUGCGUAGGCGGCAGUGCAAGUCAGGUGUGAAAUCCCGGGGCUCAACCUGGGAACUGCGUCCGAUACUGGAUGGCUUGAAUCCGGGAGAGGGAUGCAGAAUUCCAGGUGUAGCGGUGAAAUGCGUAGAUAUCUGGAGGAAUACCGGUGGCGAAGGCGGCAUCCUGGACCGGCAUUGACGCUGAGGAGCGAAAGCCAGGGGGGCAAACGGG
Molecule: ribosomal RNA, 253 nt
Filed under: uncultured bacterium
Lineage: Bacteria
Description: partial 16S ribosomal RNA
Rfam family: Bacterial small subunit ribosomal RNA
Source: RNAcentral